GAUGAACGCUGGCGGCGUGCCUAAUACAUGCAAGUCGAGCGAACGGACGAGAAGCUUGCUUUUCUGAUGUUAGCGGCGGACGGGUGAGUAACACGUGGAUAACCUACCUAUAAGACUGGGAUAACUUCGGGAAACCGGAGCUAAUACCGGAUAAUAUUUUGAACCGCAUGGUUCAAAAGUGAAAGACGGUCUUGCUGUCACUUAUAGAUGGAUCCGCGCUGCAUUAGCUAGUUGGUAAGGUAACGGCUUACCAAGGCAACGAUGCAUAGCCGACCUGAGAGGGUGAUCGGCCACACUGGAACUGAGACACGGUCCAGACUCCUACGGGAGGCAGCAGUAGGGAAUCUUCCGCAAUGGGCGAAAGCCUGACGGAGCAACGUCGCGUGAGUGAUGAAGGUCUUCGGAUCGUAAAACUCUGUUAUUAGGGAAGAACAUAUGUGUAAGUAACUGUGCACAUCUUGACGGUACCUAAUCAGAAAGCCACGGCUAACUACGUGCCAGCAGCCGCGGUAAUACGUAGGUGGCAAGCGUUAUCCGGAAUUAUUGGGCGUAAAGCGCGCGUAGGCGGUUUUUUAAGUCUGAUGUGAAAGCCCACGGCUCAACCGUGGAGGGUCAUUGGAAACUGGAAAACUUGAGUGCAGAAGAGGAAAGUGGAAUUCCAUGUGUAGCGGUGAAAUGCGCAGAGAUGUGGAGGAACACCAGUGGCGAAGGCGACUUUCUGGUCUGUAACUGACGCUGAUGUGCGAAAGCGUGGGGAUCAAACAGGAUUAGAUACCCUGGUAGUCCACGCCGUAAACGAUGAGUGCUAAGUGUUAGGGGGUUUCCGCCCCUUAGUGCUGCAGCUAACGCAUUAAGCACUCCGCCUGGGGAGUACGACCGCAAGGUUGAAACUCAAAGGAAUUGACGGGGGCCCGCACAAGCGGUGGAGCAUGUGGUUUAAUUCGAAGCAACGCGAAGAACCUUACCAAAUCUUGACAUCCUUUGACAACUCUAGAGAUAGAGCCUUCCCCUUCGGGGGACAAAGUGACAGGUGGUGCAUGGUUGUCGUCAGCUCGUGUCGUGAGAUGUUGGGUUAAGUCCCGCAACGAGCGCAACCCUUAAGCUUAGUUGCCAUCAUUAAGUUGGGCACUCUAAGUUGACUGCCGGUGACAAACCGGAGGAAGGUGGGGAUGACGUCAAAUCAUCAUGCCCCUUAUGAUUUGGGCUACACACGUGCUACAAUGGACAAUACAAAGGGCAGCGAAACCGCGAGGUCAAGCAAAUCCCAUAAAGUUGUUCUCAGUUCGGAUUGUAGUCUGCAACUCGACUACAUGAAGCUGGAAUCGCUAGUAAUCGUAGAUCGGCAUGCUACGGUGAAUACGUUCCCGGGUCU
Molecule: ribosomal RNA, 1372 nt
Filed under: uncultured bacterium
Lineage: Bacteria
Description: bacterial SSU rRNA
Rfam family: Bacterial small subunit ribosomal RNA
Source: RNAcentral